This 253-nucleotide ribosomal RNA is filed under the name uncultured bacterium. Its description in RNAcentral is "partial 16S ribosomal RNA". It matches the Rfam family "Bacterial small subunit ribosomal RNA", at positions 524 to 776 of the family's 1533-position model. The record is from RNAcentral.
UACGUAGGGGGCAAGCGUUGUCCGGAUUUAUUGGGCGUAAAGAGCGUGUAGGCGGCCAGACAGGUCAGCUGUGAAAACUCGAGGCUCAACCUCGAGACGUCGGUUGAAACCGUCUGGCUAGAGUCCGGAAGAGGAGAGUGGAAUUCCCGGUGUAGAGGUGAAAUUCGUAGAUAUCGGGAGGAACACCGGUGGCGAAGGCGGCGACCUGGGUAGAUACUGACGCUGAGGUGCGAAAGCGUGGGGAGCAAACAGG